Molecule: transfer RNA, 56 nt
Filed under: Pseudomonas umsongensis
Lineage: Bacteria; Pseudomonadati; Pseudomonadota; Gammaproteobacteria; Pseudomonadales; Pseudomonadaceae
Description: tRNA-Val
Rfam family: tRNA
About the family: Transfer RNA (tRNA) molecules are approximately 80 nucleotides in length. Their secondary structure includes four short double-helical elements and three loops (D, anti-codon, and T loops). Further hydrogen bonds mediate the characteristic L-shaped molecular structure. tRNAs have two regions of fundamental functional importance: the anti-codon, which is responsible for specific mRNA codon recognition, and the 3' end, to which the tRNAs corresponding amino acid is attached (by aminoacyl-tRNA synthetases). tRNAs cope with the degeneracy of the genetic code in two manners: having more than one tRNA (with a specific anti-codon) for a particular amino acid; and 'wobble' base-pairing, i.e. permitting non-standard base-pairing at the 3rd anti-codon position.
Source: RNAcentral
UAGCUCAGCUGGGAGAGCGUCUGCCUUACAAGCAGAAUGUCGGCGGUUCGAUCCCG